RNAcentral lists this transfer RNA (70 nucleotides) under Orectolobus japonicus (Japanese wobbegong). RNAcentral describes it as "tRNA-Asp". It matches the Rfam family "tRNA". From Rfam's summary of the family: Transfer RNA (tRNA) molecules are approximately 80 nucleotides in length. Lineage: Eukaryota; Metazoa; Chordata; Chondrichthyes; Orectolobiformes; Orectolobidae. The record is from RNAcentral.
AAGAUUCUAGUAAAAUACAUUACACUACUUUGUCAAGGUAGAAUUGCGAGUUUAAAUCCCGCGUAUCUUA